Non-coding RNA from Chiloscyllium plagiosum (whitespotted bambooshark), 2482 nucleotides. NCBI's taxonomy places the organism in Eukaryota, Metazoa, Chordata, Chondrichthyes, Orectolobiformes, Hemiscylliidae. The record is from RefSeq and is a predicted model, not a curated record.
UGCUUUACUGUUAGUUGCUUCACAAUAUGAAUAUUGACAAAUAGCUUGGCCAUGUGAUGCACUACACUUCCCUUGGUUGACUGCAUUAAGAACCAUCUUGUGGUCCCUGGAAAAGGAAUAGCAGACCAGGUUAUAACAAAUUGACUUAGGCAAAGCCAACCAGUUAUCUGGAAUUCCAUCUGGUCAGCUUGACCUGUUGGCUUACCCAUGUUCAUUGUUAUAGUACACACAGUCUUGGCAACGUUAUAGAGUGAGCUGUUUCGUAGCUUGUUUAUGUUGCUGAACCUGUUCCACUGAGUUCAUUUUUAUUGUUCAGUCACCAUUGUUAUGGACCAGAUCCACUUAAAAUAUUUUAAGAAAGUAACCUACACUCUAAUAUUUUCUUAUUUUAAAGGUAGAUGUGAAGUGUCGUGUUCCAGAUGUGACUGAUCAAACUACACAACGUUUAGCAAAACAAUUUAUUUAAACACUAUUGUUAAAAUAAAAACAAAAGAAAGAUCAAUAACUUAAUCAUAGGAAAACUUAACCAAAUAAUAAGGAAAGCACCUAUUACUGAUUAACUAUUCCAAUAUCGUAACUUCCCAUAAACACAUCCCUUAGCAAAAAGGCAAAUGCAGACAGAGAUUCUUACAUGCGGUUCUGCAAUCCAGGAGGAAAAAUACAAGAGUGUAGAGCAGCUAGGAAUCAUUCACUGAUGCUUCCAACUCUUGAGAUCCCAAAGACUUCUGAGUUACUGAAGAAACCAAAUUCCAAAAAUCUGGAUCUGUGAGAGCUGUCCACACCUAGGCUGCUUCCAUUGUUCCAAUUUUGAAAACCCUGAAGGCCUCACAAGCUGUUUACUGAAGCCACUUCAAGUAGCCAGUUUGGUACCUCUGUCUUACAACCUCUCUUCAAAGAAAAAGGGCAAAAUGACCUUUAAAGGUGACAGCAUCAUCACGCUACCUACUCCGUUGAGGCUCAGGUGAUGAUUGGUGUUGUUUGCAUCACCCAUCCACCCUAAUUCUGCUCUUCUUCUGGCUUCCCCUGUCCUUUAAUAUUCAAUUCGUGGCAAAGUGGAAUUUGCAUCAAAGCCAUCAUAUUUAUUUCUUGUCAUUUCAGUUUUCCUGCUGUGGUGUAAAUGGGCCUCAAGAUUUUGGACAGAAUUCCUCAUUUCACGAACUCUUCCCCAAUAUGCUGCUACCUGAAGCGUGUUGUAAGAAGAACAAUACAGUCCUUAUCUUCCUUGACAAGAAUAGAUGUUUUCAGGGAGGUGCUGGUUACAUAAACAGUAAGGGAUGUUUCUCAAUGAUUGCAGAGAAUUUUCGGAAUUAUGUUCAUCUGGUUGGAGCAUUCAGUAUAAUAGUGCUUUUAAUUGAGCUUGGCGCUAUGGCUUUUACUAUUUUUGUGUACCAGACCUAUAACUAAUAAUGACCAUUGUCAGGCAGAAGACACAUACUAAUCAUGACUGAACAAACAAAGAGGAGAAAGCAGACAUCAAGAAACACGUACUGGGCAAUGACUGGGUGGAUGUGCAGAGCCAGCUGUGAUUUAGCAAGAAUGCAUUUAAAUGACACGUGAAAUUGUUUGAAAAGGAAUGAAGCGAACCUUAAUAAUGAAAAUAAUGAAAAAGGACAGUCCAGCCAUUUUAUAUUGUCCACACAAUUAUUAUAAUUGUAAUUAUUAUAAUUAUAUUCUGUUUUGUCCUGUUAAGAAUGUGCUACUUAACCUUUUAACAGUGUUACUGCCCAUUUUGAAAUGGUUGUGUAAUGAGGUACAAAUGUAAUGUCGAGCUAAUUAUAUUACAGUGUAAUAGAUAUGUAUUGUGAUAUGAAUAUUCAUAUUUCUUCUAUUUGUGAUAUCUCAGUUGUAUUUUUGACUUUAAAGAUGAAGGUCUGCAGCUUUCCUUUUAAUUUAUUAUACCCCUCUAGUUUGCAAUUUAAACCUCCCCUCAAUCCCUCUUCCCACCUUUGUGCUUUUGAAGUGGUUGUGCAAACAACAGGCAUUAUAUGGGUCACCUGAUUCAUUUCUGUUUUCAUGCAACUCCCAAAACCCACACCCCAAAUCCCACUCCCCACCAUUGUGCCAAUCCAUGCCAGCCCUCCUCUACCUGUCAGUGAAAAUUCACUUUGUCAACCUCCCCAUACCAACUUGUUCGUUAGGGUAGAAGGUUGUUAUGUAAUGCUUGAUUUGUGACAGCAGAAAACAUUAAUAUUAUUAAUGCAGCAGUAACAAGCAACAACAACCCCAGUGUAUAUUUCCUGUUGUCAUUGUGGAAGCUGUGUUGUUUUCCAUAAACACUUUCUUAAUAGAGGGAGCUGUUCUAUUAUUGAGUCAUGCACUGGUCGUAUGUCACUUCCUUAGUUUGUGGAAGCUGGCUUUUCUACCAUGUGUAUGUAAGGUGGCAUGGUGGUCAGUGGUUAUUACUACCGCCACACAGCACCAGGGGCCCAGGUUCGAUUCCACCUCAGGUGACGAUCUGUGUGGAAUUUGCAGAUUCUGUCUG